ACCUGCGGAAGGAUCAUUAGUGAAUAUAGGACGUCCAACUUAACUUGGAGUCCGAACUCUCACUUUCUAACCCUGUGCACUUGUUUGGGAUAGUAACUCUCGCAAGAGAGCGAACUCCUAUUCACUUAUAAACACAAAGUCUAUGAAUGUAUUAAAUUUUAUAACAAAAUAAAACUUUCAACAACGGAUCUCUUGGCUCUCGCAUCGAUGAAGAACGCAGCGAAAUGCGAUAAGUAAUGUGAAUUGCAGAAUUCAGUGAAUCAUCGAAUCUUUGAACGCACCUUGCGCUCCAUGGUAUUCCGUGGAGCAUGCCUGUUUGAGUGUCAUGAAUACUUCAACCCUCCUCUUUCUUAAUGAUUGAAGAGGUGUUUGGUUUCUGAGCGCUGCUGGCCUUUACGGUCUAGCUCGUUCGUAAUGCAUUAGCAUCCGCAAUCGAACUUCGGAUUGACUUGGCGUAAUAGACUAUUCGCUGAGGAAUUCUAGUCUUCGGAUUAGAGCCGGGUUGGGUUAAAGGAAGCUUCUAAUCAGAAUGUCUACAUUUUAAGAUUAGAUCUCAAAUCAGGUAGGACUACCCGCUGAACUUAAGCAUAUCAAUAAGCCGGAGGA
RNAcentral lists this ribosomal RNA (606 nucleotides) under Rhodotorula mucilaginosa. Its description in RNAcentral is "eukaryotic LSU rRNA". The stretch from base 173 to 326 matches the Rfam family "5.8S ribosomal RNA". The record is from RNAcentral. Lineage: Eukaryota; Fungi; Basidiomycota; Microbotryomycetes; Sporidiobolales; Sporidiobolaceae.